Long non-coding RNA from Adelges cooleyi (spruce gall adelgid), 752 nucleotides. RefSeq lists it as uncharacterized. The record is from RefSeq and is a predicted model, not a curated record. The transcript is spliced from 2 exons. NCBI's taxonomy places the organism in Eukaryota, Metazoa, Arthropoda, Insecta, Hemiptera, Adelgidae.
GCUAACACCGUUUUUUUCAGUAAAUAUUUUUCAUUUUUUUUAAGGUACAGGGCUGGUGGGUAAAUAGAGCUGACAUAACCCAACCUAACCUGUUGAUUAUUGAUAUGGGAAUCGGUUCAGAGACUCAAAACGGUGAUAAAAAAAUCAAUUUAUAAGCCAUAAUAAUGGUGUAAUGGUGUACUAUUACGUUUGUUUAUUAAAGAACCGUCUGGAUAAAGAAAUGGUCACUACUGAUGCAGAAGGAAACGAGAAAUCACUAUACCAUUCACUUCUUCAGGAUACAACUCUUUUUAAAUCAAGAUUUGAUAAACCGACCUAAAGGUUGUAAACAAAAAAAAAGUGUACCUAUUAUAAUUAUAAUGAAUUAAAAUCAAAGAUUUCCAUAUAACUUGGUAUAAUAUACCAAUUUAUAAUAAAUAUAGUAUACAUAUGUGAUUUCUAUGUAAACAUUUACUUACACUUUUCUAUUUUUAAAGCAGUAAAUUACUGAUUUAUCUAUCUAUACAUUUAUUGAUAAAUACAAUAUUAAUAUAACAAGUAUUUUGAUAGAUGCUUAAAUUAAUCUACUGCUUUACCAAAAAGGUGGCGUAUACAGCCGAAAUAUAUACAUCAUGUAUAUGUCUACUCAGAUAUCACAUAUUAAUACUACGUCUAUUAUAAUUUGGUAUACUAGAUAUCAACUAGAUAUUACAGUGUUUGCUGGCAUGUCCCUACUAAUUUGUUUAGUUAACAAUUAAAUGAAAUUGAUUGAA